GUCUCCGGCCAUACCACCCUGAACGCACCUGAUCUCGUCUGAUCUCAGAAGCUAAGCAGAGUCAGGCCUGCUUAAUACUUAGAUGGGAGUCUAAUAAGUCGAUGUCCUGGACCUUGUGACA
Ribosomal RNA from Fukomys damarensis (Damara mole-rat), 121 nucleotides. The record is from Ensembl. Lineage: Eukaryota; Metazoa; Chordata; Mammalia; Rodentia; Bathyergidae.